CAGCCGCCGCGGGAAUACCAGCACCUCGAGUGGUCAGGAGGUUUAUUGGGCCUAAAGCAUCCGUAGCCGGUUGCAUAAGUUUUCGGUUAAAUCUAUGCGCUUAACGUAUAGGCCGCCGAAAAUACUGUGCAGCUAGGGAGUGGGAGAGGUACACGGUACUCGAUAGGAAGGGGUAAAAUCCUUUGGUCUAUUGAUGACCACCUGUGGCGAAGGCGGUGUACCAGAACACGUUCGACGGUGAGGGAUGAAAGCUGGGGGAGCAAACAGGAUUAGAUACCCGUGUAGUCCCUGUCUCUUAUAA
This 301-nucleotide ribosomal RNA is filed under the name uncultured bacterium. Its description in RNAcentral is "partial 16S ribosomal RNA". It matches the Rfam family "Archaeal small subunit ribosomal RNA", at positions 459 to 760 of the family's 1478-position model. The record is from RNAcentral.